AGAUCGGGAACACGAGCUGUCCAACGUGCUGAUCGGGUCGCGAGCUGUCCGCGAGCUGUCUGAGAUCGUCUUGUUUGUGAGCUGAGGUUGAACAAGCCGAGAUCGUCUGAGCUAGGGUCAGGAAUGCCUAAGCUGAAGCUGAUCGGGAACAGAUUGCAGACAAGGAUCGGGAUGUAAGGUUUCGCAAUCGGGAUUAGGAUGGUUCGCCGGUAAGGAUGUUCGCCGAUUAGUGUUAGGGUUUUAGGCGGUUUGUUUUAGCUUAGGGAUUUAGAUUCUAUCGUGCUGAUAACGUGUUGUGAAACUAGAGAAUAUAAUCUAUGUUUCUGUAUUAUUCAUAAACAUAAGGAGCCCUUUAUAUAUAGGGAAUUACACCGUCAUAGAAUAAUUGAAAGACUAAAGAAAGGAAAUACAAAUAUGGAAAGAGUACAAAUCAUAAUCUAAUAAGGAAAAUGCAAGAUACCGAUUCUCUCCCUCUCUCUCUCCUCACGGUCGACUAUCUCUCUCUCUAGCAUUGAGCCGGUUAUGAACCAAGCCAGUUAUGAACAUCCACAAUAUGAUUUAUUACACCAGUGGACUAAACCAGUCAAAUGGCUUUAAUUAGCUAGCCGGUCAAAAAUACAGACUAAUGAUUUCCAUAUCUAUAUAAAUAAAGGAGGCUUUGAUCUCUCUUCAUAAAGCCACAUCAGCUGAUAGGGGUGGGCUUUUUCGGACAUGUGGCAUAAAAAAAUCGCCGGAAUUGCAUUUUAUUUACGUUUGGUGGGCUUUAAAAUGGAUUCGAUUGGUACUUAAUUUCGUGUGGGCUUUAUGCCCAAAUUGCUAUAAACUUCAUCUUCUUCUCGCCUUCUAUAUUCUCAGUUUAACUGCCGUAAAUUAUCUGGAACUUGCACCAACUAGGUCACCAUAACGUCUUGAUCACGUGGCGGAAUCCCCCAGCAAAACGCUGAAACAUGGAGAGACUUUCAAGGAACCUCCGAUGUUUACAGAGCAAAAGCAAGCUCCAGCGUUGUUGGUACACAAAAGAUCGAGUCACUUAUACAGAAACGGAAGCCCAAGUUUGACACUAACAAGUUGCAGCAAGUAGCAACGGAUGAUAAAGGAUUGUGGAUUGCUGUCGUGGGGUUGGUGCUGAUGUCAUCAUGACUUCAGAGUCUUGCAGAAAUGGUACUGAGCUGUGCAGCGAAGCAAUAGAAAAUCUGGAGAAGAAGUAUGAUGUGGUCCUUAACAUUCAAGGAGAUGAACAACUCAUUGAGCCUGUGAUUAUAGACAGUAUUGUCAAAGCACUUCAGGUAGCACCUGAUGCAGUAUUUAGCACAGCGGUGACGUCAUUAAAACCAGAAGACGGAGAUGAUCCUAACCGAGUCAAAUGUGUGGUGGACAACCGUGGCUAUACUGUCUAUAUCUCCAGUGGUUUGGUUCCGUAUAACACGAGUGGUAACGUCAAUCCAGAUUUCCUUACAUGCUUCAUCUUGAAAUACAGCUACGACAUCUAAUUGGACGGAGCUUUUUGUUUCACAUUUUCUCUAUCUCAGGCCAUUCGUGAAGGUGAAUUGCUUUACUUAUUGUUUGUCUGUUUUAGAUUUAAGCCGUAUUUUUCUUACUCAAUCCCUAUUAUACCAUGUGGCACUGCAAGGAGUAGAUGGCAUGUAUAAUCUUCCCCGGAAGAUGUGUUCAGUCAGGUCACGCUUCCCAUAAGCUUCUGAGACUGCUUACUGGAAUUUUUGGAGAAAACAAGGAGGUUAAAAUGGAUUUUAAUCCCAAACUAUCUCAUCUUUCUUUCACCCUGGCUUGGUUACUUAGGCUCAGAGGGUGGUCCCCCUUUCUCGCGUAAAAGCGAUCCUGGACCAUUCAGCCUCUCUCAACCAAGUAUCCCCUUCCCUUAUUAAAUAAAGUAGCUAAUGAAAUGAGGCAGGUUGUGCUAGAAGUCUGUUCCAAAGAGCUUGGCUCUUAGUAGGCAAGACGGUCUUUGUUUUUUGUUACUAUAUCCAUGAGAAUACUAAUGUUUAAUGGAUCAGGAAGUUUACUCUUUUGUGUUUGUUGAUAGGAUGGUAGCACAUGCGAUGGAGUUAUGGACAGCUGUAAGCGAUGAAGGAGAAGUUCUUGCACAUGUUCUUGCACAUGAGGGAGCAGCGACAUUUGGGUGGAGUCAACAUGGAAGAUCUACAUAGACUUGACUAUGCUCAAGUCUUUCUUCUUAUGCUCUGACUCUGAAGAUCUCAGGAAUACAUAACUGGAAACAUGGAGGAAAGGUUCGGGGAUUUUUUGGCUUCAGCAAGUCUGGGAUUAGCGCUGUCUCAAAGUGACUGCUUAACAGCUGCUUGAUUCUGUUGGAAAGCCAUUGUCUGAUAAAAAUCUUACGGUCCUCCAGGCCAUAUUUGAAACAUAUUUCAUUAUGUGCAUCCUUCUUCAUACUUUGACAUUGUCUAACGGGAAGGCCUGGUGGAGCUGUUGGGUUCCGAAUUGCAGAUCUUUGGCUGUCUUGAUUUUCUUCACAAAUAUUAAUCAUUUAUAUCUUCUGUUUUCUUUGCUAAUGACUUUGGUUCUAUAAAUAUAUGUCCUGAAAUUAGAGCCCAAAACUAUUACCCAAAACAAAUGCAUAAUAUGCAAAUGUUAAUUUCUCAACUCUAUUACAAAGACGUCUAAUAAUUAUUGUCUCAGAAGGUAAAUAUAGAAAGUUUCCGAAUUACAUAAGUGAUGAUAGUAACACUAUAAUGAAAUGAGUAUUAAUAAAUAUAAUAAUAUAAUUAAGAGAAAAUUCCAUAAAAAUACCCCACUAAAUUUUGUUAAGUUUUUUAAUACUCAAAUUUUUUCGCUACCCACUUUAAUUCUCCAACUAUUUA
Brassica napus (rape) is the source of this 2837-nucleotide RNA transcript. It is a transcript of the gene named 3-deoxy-manno-octulosonate cytidylyltransferase, mitochondrial-like, with no coding region annotated. The transcript is spliced from 8 exons. The record is from RefSeq and is a predicted model, not a curated record. Lineage: Eukaryota; Viridiplantae; Streptophyta; Magnoliopsida; Brassicales; Brassicaceae.